RNAcentral lists this ribosomal RNA (253 nucleotides) under uncultured bacterium. Its description in RNAcentral is "partial 16S ribosomal RNA". It matches the Rfam family "Bacterial small subunit ribosomal RNA", at positions 524 to 776 of the family's 1533-position model. The record is from RNAcentral.
UACGAAGGGGGCUAGCGUUGCUCGGAAUCACUGGGCGUAAAGGGUGCGUAGGCGGGUCUUUAAGUCAGGGGUGAAAUCCUGGAGCUCAACUCCAGAACUGCCUUUGAUACUGAAGAUCUUGAGUUCGGGAGAGGUGAGUGGAACUGCGAGUGUAGAGGUGAAAUUCGUAGAUAUUGGGAAGAACACCGGUGGCGAAGGCGGCUCACUGGCUCGUAUCUGACGCUCAGGCGCGACAGCGUGGGGAUCAAACAGG